Molecule: small nuclear RNA, 103 nt
Organism: Cebus imitator (Panamanian white-faced capuchin)
Lineage: Eukaryota; Metazoa; Chordata; Mammalia; Primates; Cebidae
Source: Ensembl
GUGCUUGCCUCAACAGCACAUAUACUAAAACUGGAACGAUACAGAGAUGAGUGUGGCCCCUCAUGAGGGUGACUCGCAAAUUCAUGAAGCGUUCCAUCGUUUU